GAGUUUGAUCCUGGCUCAGGAUGAACGCUGGCGGCGUGCCUAAUACAUGCAAGUCGAGCGAACAGAUGAGAAGCUUGCUUCUCUGAUGUUAGCGGCGGACGGGUGAGUAACACGUGGGUAACCUACCUAUAAGACUGGGAUAACUCCGGGAAACCGGGGCUAAUACCUGAUAAUAUUUUGAACCGCAUGGUUCAAUAGUGAAAGGCGGCUUCGGCUGUCACUUAUAGAUGGACCCGCGCCGUAUUAGCUAGUUGGUAAGGUAACGGCUUACCAAGGCGACGAUACGCAGCCGACCUGAGAGGGUGACCGGCCACACUGGAACUGAGACACGGUCCAGACUCCUACGGGAGGCAGCAGUAGGGAAUCUUCCGCAAUGGGCGAAAGCCUGACGGAGCAACGCCGCGUGAGUGAUGAAGGUUUUCGGAUCGUAAAACUCUGUUGUUAGGGAAGAACAAAUUUGUUAGUAACUGAACAAGUCUUGACGGUACCUAACCAGAAAGCCACGGCUAACUACGUGCCAGCAGCCGCGGUAAUACGUAGGUGGCAAGCGUUAUCCGGAAUUAUUGGGCCGUAAAGCGCGCCGUAGCGGUUUCUUAAGUCUGAUGUGAAAGCCCACGCUCAACCCGUGGAGGGGCAUUGGAAACUGGGGAACUUGAGUGCAAAAAU
Molecule: ribosomal RNA, 666 nt
Filed under: uncultured Staphylococcus sp.
Lineage: Bacteria; Bacillati; Bacillota; Bacilli; Caryophanales; Staphylococcaceae
Description: bacterial SSU rRNA
Rfam family: Bacterial small subunit ribosomal RNA
Source: RNAcentral